UUUUUACUAAAUAACUAUAUAAAAUCCCCAUGAUACACAUAUACUUCAGGUUCGCGAGCCUAAUCGAGUCGAAUAUUGCUGCGUUCAUGUUCGGUUCAUUUAGUAGACGAAUCGAACUCGAACGAGCCUUUACCGAGUCGAGCCUCGAACAGUUCACGAACGGCUCAGUUCAUUUACAGCCCUACCCCCUACGAAC
Long non-coding RNA from Rhododendron vialii, 196 nucleotides. RefSeq lists it as uncharacterized. The transcript has 2 exons. The record is from RefSeq and is a predicted model, not a curated record. NCBI's taxonomy places the organism in Eukaryota, Viridiplantae, Streptophyta, Magnoliopsida, Ericales, Ericaceae.